CUAAGGAUAUUACGGAAUGACCAUUAGGUCAUGGAAUAACGAAGACAUAUUGUAUUCAGUUUUGAAUGUUUAUAACAUUCAACAUUGCACAUUGAAAACUAGAUAAGUAAGCAAUAGAUUUUACCAAGCAAAAAACCGAGUGAAUUUCUAACGAAAUUCAACAAGCUUAAUAAUCGCGCGUCGUCUUUAUAGACGACAUCACAGAUUAAUAACAGUUAUUUUCUUAAACGUUAUGUAUAAGGAAAUAUAG
RNAcentral lists this unclassified non-coding RNA (250 nucleotides) under rice phyllosphere bacterium J. RNAcentral's name for it is "16S-23S intergenic spacer". The record is from RNAcentral.